UACGUAGGCAGCAAGCGUUGUUCGGAAUUACUGGGCGUAAAGAGUGUGUAGGCGGUGCUCUAAGUUUGGUGUGAAAUCUCCCGGCUCAACCGGGAGGCUGCAUCGAAUACUGGAAUGCUAGAGGGUGGGAGAGGUAAGCGGAAUUCCUGGUGUAGCGGUGAAAUGCGUAGAUAUCAGGAGGAACACCGGUGGUGUAGACGGCUUUCUGGACCGUAACUGACGCUGAGACACGAAAGCGUGGGUAGCAAACAGG
This 253-nucleotide ribosomal RNA is filed under the name uncultured bacterium. Its description in RNAcentral is "partial 16S ribosomal RNA". It matches the Rfam family "Bacterial small subunit ribosomal RNA", at positions 524 to 776 of the family's 1533-position model. The record is from RNAcentral.